RNAcentral lists this ribosomal RNA (209 nucleotides) under Pantoea agglomerans. RNAcentral describes it as "partial 16S ribosomal RNA". It matches the Rfam family "Bacterial small subunit ribosomal RNA", at positions 1 to 213 of the family's 1533-position model. The record is from RNAcentral. Lineage: Bacteria; Pseudomonadati; Pseudomonadota; Gammaproteobacteria; Enterobacterales; Erwiniaceae.
ACUUAAAUUGAAGAGUUUGAUCAUGGCUCAGAUUGAACGCUGGCGGCAGGCCUAACACAUGCAAGUCGGACGGUAGCACAGAGGAGCUUGCUCCUUGGGUGACGAGUGGCGGACGGGUGAGUAAUGUCUGGGGAUCUGCCCGAUAGAGGGGGAUAACCACUGGAAACGGUGGCUAAUACCGCAUAACGUCGCAAGACCAAAGAGGGGGA